Molecule: long non-coding RNA, 1130 nt
Organism: Equus caballus (horse)
Lineage: Eukaryota; Metazoa; Chordata; Mammalia; Perissodactyla; Equidae
Source: Ensembl
GUCCUAUCUGUGAGGGCAAAGCAAGCUGGUGUAAUUAUGACAUGUCUGCUGAGGACUGACUGUGGGCAAGGACCAUGGGACUGCUGGAAACACUGAGGGAACAGGUUCAAGCUUGUGGUGGGGUCUCCUAGGGGCUCAGGGGCUCACUUGGAGGUGCCAGCCAACCACACAGCUGAAAUGUGGGCACCUUAGCAGAGAGCAACAAGAAAGCAUGUGGUAUCUUCUAAGGACGAUGCAGAAGGAACUAAACAAGGAAGUGAAGGGGCGGCCUUGAGGAUUUUAAAUGAAGCUUGAAAUGCUCAAACCUGUGUUUCAGAAAGGUCACUCUGGUGACACUCUGAAAAAGAGAAAGCCUGGAGGGAACAAGGCCAGUGGGAAGGUUGCUACGAUGGUCCAAAAAGCGGUCCCUUGAACCAAGGUGGAGACUGUGGACAUAGAGAAACAACUGUCUUUGAGGAUCUGGUGAGGACCAGACGUGCGAGACGACGGAGAGGACUUCCAGAACGCCAGGUUUCUGGCUUGGGCAACUGGAGCGUGAUGCAGCCGUUAGUAAAGUGGGCGCAAAGGAGGACAAGUGGGGACGGUGCGGGAGAGGAGGUCAGCAUGGGCAGGCUGACUUGUUUGAGUCCCUGAGAAGUCACCUCAAUGCUGCCCAGAGAGCGGGUGGGAACACAGAUCUGGGUCUCUGUGAGAAGUCUAGACCGGACGCAUGGAUGGAGGAGUCCAUUGACCCACAGACAGCAUUUGGAGCCCACAUAUGAGAGGAUCAUCUGUUACAGUGAAGAGCAUGUGUGGUAUAUGAGGGACCUGGGACUGCUUUUGUGGAAGAGGGGAAAUGGCACAUGGUUGGAGCAGGAUGCACAUACGAGAUCCAAUCAAAACCACACGCAUGCUCCCCCAGGAUUGUGGAGGGAAUUUAUUGAAAGAACUGUGGGCAGCAUUAAGAGAACCAAAACGGAGGCAGAGACACCCAAGGAAAAAGUCGUUAAACACCCAGACCUGAAUGGAGAUGGAAAGAUGCCUGAAUGGAGAUGGAAAGAAACAGUGAUACCCACCCCAGAGGUCACCGUGCCCUCCAAGUAUCUUGUGUGACUAUUAUAAGUGAACAGCUUUCUGAAAUUUUUAAAAGC